Molecule: ribosomal RNA, 1767 nt
Filed under: human gut metagenome
Description: bacterial LSU rRNA
Rfam family: Bacterial large subunit ribosomal RNA
Source: RNAcentral
AGAGUGCGUAAUAGCUCACUAGUCGAGAGGUCCUGCGCCGAAAAUGUCCGGGGCUAAAACACGACACCGAAGCUUAGGAAUCAGAAAUGAUUGGUAGAGGAGCAUUCUUAAAUCAUCGAAGCUGUACCGAUAAGGAGCAGUGGAGGUUUAAGAAGAGAGAAUGCCGGAAUGAGUAGCGAGAAUGAAGUGAGAAUCUUCAUGGCCGAAUAUCCAAGGUUUCCAGGGUAAAGCUGAUCUGCCCUGGGUUAGUCGGGGCCUAAGGCGAGGCUGAGAAGCGUAGCUGAUGGACAACAGGUUGAAAUUCCUGUACUGCCUUAUAACAGAACUGUGGGGACACAUGUUCAGGUCGCGAGCCGGGAAAGGAAAGCCCGGUGCAAGCAGAGGUUAUCGGUGGGAGGCAAACCCCCCACAAAAGAGAAGACUGCGAUGCGGAGCGAAGAAAAGUAGCGAAGAGCGAUGAGAAUGUGUCGAGAAAAGCCGCUAUUGUUUAUAAGGUACCCGUACCGUAAACCGACACAGGUGGAUGAGGAGAGAAUCCUAAGGCCGGCGGGAGAAGCAUUGUUAAGGAACUCGGCAAAAUGACCCCGUAACUUCGGGAGAAGGGGUGCCCACGAAAGUGGGCCGCAGAGAAUAGGCUCAAGCAACUGUUUAGCAAAAACACAGGUCUAUGCAAAACCGUAAGGUGAGGUAUAUGGGCUGACGCCUGCCCGGUGCUGGAAGGUUAAGAGGAGAGGUUAACGAAAGUGAAGCUUUGAAUUUAAGCCCCAGUAAACGGCGGCCGUAACUAUAACGGUCCUAAGGUAGCGAAAUUCCUUGUCGGGUAAGUUCCGACCCGCACGAAAGGCGUAAUGAUUUGAGCACUGUCUCGACAAUGCAUCCGGUGAAAUUGAAGUACCAGUGAAGAUGCUGGUUACCUGCGCCAGGACGGAAAGACCCCAUGGAGCUUUACUCUAGUUUGGUACUGGGGUCCGGUAUUGCAUGUACAGGAUAGGUGGGAGACUGAGAAGUGUGAACGCCAGUUUGCACGGAGUCAUUGUUGGGAUACCACCCCUGCAGUAUUGGGCUUCUAACAGGUAGCCGUAAACCGGCUAAUGGACAAUGCCAGGCGGGGAGUUUGACUGGGGCGGUCGCCUCCGAAAGGGUAUCGGAGGCGCUCAAAGGUUCCCUCAGAAUGGUUGGAAACCAUUCGAAGAGUGCAAAGGCAGAAGGGAGCUUGACUGCGACACCGACGGGUGGAGCAGGUACGAAAGUAGGACUUAGUGAUCCGGUGGCAUAAAGUGGGAUUGCCAUCGCUCAACGGAUAAAAGCUACCCUGGGGAUAACAGGCUUAUCACUCCCAAGAGUUCACAUCGACGGAGUGGUUUGGCACCUCGAUGUCGGCUCAUCGCAUCCUGGGGCUGUAGCAGGUCCCAAGGGUUGGGCUGUUCGCCCAUUAAAGCGGUACGCGAGCUGGGUUCAGAACGUCGUGAGACAGUUCGGUCCCUAUCCGGCGUGGGCGGAGGAUAUUUGAGAGGAGCUGUCCUUAGUACGAGAGGACCGGGAUGGACGGACCGCUGGUGUAUCUGUUGUACUGCCAAGUGCAUGGCAGAGUAGCCAAGUCUGGAAGGGAUAAACGCUGAAGGCAUCUAAGCGUGAAGCCCCCCUCAAGAUGAGAUAUCCCUGCAUAUGCAGUAAGACCCCUUGAAGACUACGAGGUAGAUAGGUCAGAGGUGGAAGUGCAGUAAUGCAUGUAGCUGACUGAUACUAAUAGGUCGAGGGCUUGACCAA